This 23-nucleotide non-coding RNA is filed under the name Arabidopsis thaliana (thale cress). The record is from RNAcentral. Lineage: Eukaryota; Viridiplantae; Streptophyta; Magnoliopsida; Brassicales; Brassicaceae.
AAAGGCCCGCCACUCCUUACUCG